GAGCAGCAGUGGGGAAUUUUGGACAAUGGGCGCAAGCCUGAUCCAGCCAUGCCGCGUGCAGGAUGAAGGCCUUCGGGUUGUAAACUGCUUUUGUACGGAACGAAAAGACUCCUUCUAAUAAAGGGGGUCCAUGACGGUACCGUAAGAAUAAGCACCGGCUAACUACGUGCCAGCAGCCGCGGUAAUACGUAGGGUGCGAGCGUUAAUCGGAAUUACUGGGCGUAAAGCGUGCGCAGGCGGUUAUAUAAGACAGAUGUGAAAUCCCCGGGCUCAACCUGGGAACUGCAUUUGUGACUGUAUAGCUAGAGUACGGUAGAGGGGGAUGGAAUUCCGCGUGUAGCAGUGAAAUGCGUAGAUAUGCGGAGGAACACCGAUGGCGAAGGCAAUCCCCUGGACCUGUACUGACGCUCAUGCACGAAAGCGUGGGGAGCAAACAGGAUUAGAUACCCUGGUAGUCCACGCCCUAAACGAUGUCAACUGGUUGUUGGGUCUUCACUGACUCAGUAACGAAGCUAACGCGUGAAGU
This 526-nucleotide ribosomal RNA is filed under the name uncultured bacterium. RNAcentral describes it as "bacterial SSU rRNA". It matches the Rfam family "Bacterial small subunit ribosomal RNA", at positions 346 to 865 of the family's 1533-position model. The record is from RNAcentral.